This is a long non-coding RNA of Brienomyrus brachyistius, 674 nucleotides long. RefSeq lists it as uncharacterized. The record is from RefSeq and is a predicted model, not a curated record. The transcript is spliced from 3 exons. Lineage: Eukaryota; Metazoa; Chordata; Actinopteri; Osteoglossiformes; Mormyridae.
ACAGGGACACUUCAUCUUCUGUGGAGCUACACGAGUGAACAAAAACAAGCCAUAGGUCACAACAAGCGGAGAAUGGAGCUGGCAAAAGGUCAACAGCUUUGCACAUCCAGCGAGCCACAAUUAGCGAGGUGGUCCCUUUGAUUGUGUCCAUGCCUGAGGAACUCAGCGAUGGCCGGCUGCCGGCGGCGAGAAUAGGGGCACCUGGCAAUGGAAAAGAGGAAUGCCUCUCAGAGACGGGAGACGUGGGCACUUUGCGGGACACCUCACAGCGGGGCAGCUCCAAGCGGGACGGGGAGGGGUGCUGAAGUGGAAGGCGGUGAGAGCGGAUCGCGGCCUCCCUCCAGCUGAAUAGCGGCCUGACCCGAGGCACUCGCCGCUUCAUCCCUUAUUCCUCGAUCCCUCAGAGUCCGGCAUAUAGUCAAAAAAUCCCAAAGCCAAACACAGACAGUGAAAAAAAAAUGUCAAAGUCUCUGUACCUAAAGAUAAGCAAACUGUAUGACAGAAUGUUGUAUUUGUCACAGAGACAAUUAUGAGAGUUAUGGGCAGUUCAGCGUAUAGCGUGUUGGUCGUUAACGUACGAAAGAGAUCAUUAAACAUUAAACAUGAACAAGAAUCAUGGGCAGCUAUAAAUAAUGUACAAUUAGCAGCAAUGUGACAGGUGGUCCUGCAAAGUG